Molecule: unclassified non-coding RNA, 230 nt
Filed under: Hevea brasiliensis (rubber tree)
Lineage: Eukaryota; Viridiplantae; Streptophyta; Magnoliopsida; Malpighiales; Euphorbiaceae
Source: RNAcentral
GAAAUUGGGAAAUUUAAUCCCUUGGGCAUCCUCCAUAACCUGAAUCUCCUCCAUAAGAAAGUCUCUUGUUGGAUCACUUUGAGGGCAACUGCGUAGUGUCAUCGAGAAUUGAUUAAGCAUUUCAACCAAUCUGGCAGUGCAAUGCAAUUUUUUAUCAUCUGGAUAUUCAUCAAAUUCUCCUCUCAAAAGGAUUUUUCUAAGGGUCUCUUUGGCAGACCCUAUAAUUCUCA